Molecule: long non-coding RNA, 248 nt
Organism: Stegostoma tigrinum
Lineage: Eukaryota; Metazoa; Chordata; Chondrichthyes; Orectolobiformes; Stegostomatidae
Exons: 3
Source: RefSeq, a predicted model, not a curated record
CCUGAUCUUUCUUCUGAAGGAGCACACUGGCCGGGUGAUGGCCCUUUCAUUCUCCAUGGAUUCAAUUCUACUGGUGACGGCAGCAGAAGAUGAAACGGUUCGUGUGUGGGAUUGCGAAGAUGGCAUGUGUAAAAAGAUCCUUAAGGACUGGACAUUUACCUGGACCGAUGGAUUGCAACAGCUCAAAAGGCAGUCAACUACCACUUUGUCAAGGACAUGUGGAGCUGAACCACAAAUGCUAGUUUGCU